Molecule: ribosomal RNA, 868 nt
Filed under: uncultured cyanobacterium
Lineage: Bacteria; Bacillati; Cyanobacteriota
Description: bacterial SSU rRNA
Rfam family: Bacterial small subunit ribosomal RNA
Source: RNAcentral
AGAGUUUGAUCCUGGCUCAGGAUGAACGCUGGCGGUCUGCUUAACACAUGCAAGUCGAACGGAAUCCGCAAGGAUUUAGUGGCGGACGGGUGAGUAACGCGUGAGAAUCUGCCUUCAGGUCGGGGACAACAGCUGGAAACGGCUGCUAAGACCCGAUGUGCUUAACGGUGAAAGAUUAAUCGCCUGAAGAUGAGCUCGCGUCCGAUUAGCUAGUUGGUGGGGUAAGAGCCUACCAAGGCGUCGAUCGGUAACUGGUCUGAGAGGACGACCAGUCACACUGGGACUGAGACACGGCCCAGACUCCUACGGGAGGCAGCAGUGGGGAAUUUUCCGCAAUGGGCGAAAGCCUGACGGAGCAAGACCGCGUGAGGGACGAAGGCUCUUGGGUUGUAAACCUCUUUUCUCAGGGAAGAAACCUGACGGUACCUGAGGAAUAAGCAUCGGCUAGCUCCGUGCCAGCAGCCGCGGUAAUACGGAGGAUGCAAGCGUUAUCCGGAAUUAUUGGGCGUAAAGCGUUCGCAGGUGGCUGUUCAAGUCGGCUGUCAAAGCCCGGGGCUUANCCCCUGGAAAGGCGGUGGAAACUGAACGGCUAGAGUGCAGUAUGGCGUAGAGGGAAUUCCCCAGUGUAGCGGUGAAAUGCGUAGAGAUUGGGAAGAACACCGGUGGCGAAAGCGCUCUGCUGGACUGCAACUGACACUGAGGGACGAAAGCUAGGGGAGCGAAAGGGAUUAGAUACCCCUGUAGUCCUAGCCGUAAACGAUGGAUACUAGGCGUUGCCGGGCUCGACCCUGGCAGUGUCGGAGCUAACGCGUUAAGUAUCCCGCCUGGGAAGUACGCACGCAAGUGUGAAACUCAAAUGAAUUGACGG